RNAcentral lists this ribosomal RNA (484 nucleotides) under uncultured bacterium. Its description in RNAcentral is "partial 16S ribosomal RNA". It matches the Rfam family "Bacterial small subunit ribosomal RNA", at positions 28 to 523 of the family's 1533-position model. The record is from RNAcentral.
GACGAACGCUGGCGGCGUGCUUAACACAUGCAAGUCGAACGAUGAACCCGGAGCUUGCUCCGGUGGAUUAGUGGCGAACGGGUGAGUAACACGUGAGUAACCUGCCCUUGACUCUGGGAUAACUGCGGGAAACUGUAGCUAAUACCGGAUACGACCCUCGGCGGCAUCGCCAGGGGGUGGAAAGAAUCUCGGUCAAGGAUGGACUCGCGGCCUAUCAGCUAGUUGGUGAGGUAACGGCUCACCAAGGCGACGACGGGUAGCCGGCCUGAGAGGGUGACCGGCCACGCUGGGACUGAGACACGGCCCAGACUCCGACGGGAGGCAGCAGUGGGGAAUAUUGCACAAUGGGCGCAAGCCUGAUGCAGCGACGCCGCGUGAGGGAUGACGGCCUUCGGGUUGUAAACCUCUUUCAGCACCGACGAAGCGCAAGUGACGGUAGGUGCAGAAGAAGGACCGGCCAACUACAUGCCAGCCGCCGCAGUAA